GGAGCUCGCUCCCGGGGCUACCCUACUCCCGUAGGGUUUAGAGUCGUCGGGCCUCUCGGAGAAGCUCGGUCCUGAACUCCACCCUUGAAUAAACUACCUUUGUUGCUUUGGCGGGCCGCCUCGUGCCAGCGGCUUCGGCUGUUGAGUGCCCGCCAGAGGACCCCAACUCUUGUUUUUAGUGAUGUCUGAGUACUAUAUAAUAGUUAAAACUUUCAACAACGGAUCUCUUGGUUCUGGCAUCGAUGAAGAACGCAGCGAAAUGCGAUAAGUAAUGUGAAUUGCAGAAUUCAGUGAAUCAUCGAAUCUUUGAACGCACAUUGCGCCCUCUGGUAUUCCGGGGGGCAUGCCUGUUCGAGCGUCAUUAUAACCACUCAAGCUCUCGCUUGGUAUUGGGGUUCGCGGUUUCGCGGCCCCUAAAAUCAGUGGCGGUGCCUGUCGGCUCUACGCGUAGUAAUACUCCUCGCGAUUGAGUCCGGUAGGUCUACUUGCCAGCAACCCCUAAUUUUUUUAAGGUUGACCUCGGAUCAGGUAGGGAUACCCGCUGAACUUAAGCAUAUCAA
Molecule: ribosomal RNA, 560 nt
Filed under: Leptodontidium sp. ca_besc_103a
Lineage: Eukaryota; Fungi; Ascomycota; Leotiomycetes; Helotiales; Leptodontidiaceae
Description: eukaryotic LSU rRNA
Rfam family: 5.8S ribosomal RNA (bases 208-361)
Source: RNAcentral